RNAcentral lists this long non-coding RNA (222 nucleotides) under Amborella trichopoda. RNAcentral's name for it is "long non-coding RNA (ATRI_LNC001549)". The record is from RNAcentral. Lineage: Eukaryota; Viridiplantae; Streptophyta; Magnoliopsida; Amborellales; Amborellaceae.
CUUGAUAGCAUCAUUGAUCAUCUUGCUGUGAUAGGUAUUCCAAAAAAGGGUGUUGUGUUGUGGAAAAUCUUCAAAAAGUGCUAUUCUUUGGAAUAUAUGGCUAGAGCGCAACAAAAUAACUUUUGAGGGGGUGUCCCUGUGUGCUGAGCGGGUCAAGGACCUUAUUUUGCAAUCUCUUUGAAAGUGGUUUUAUGUUACCCUUGAUGGUAAGGGUGUUUUUCG